This 107-nucleotide ribosomal RNA is filed under the name Brugia malayi. Its description in RNAcentral is "5.8S ribosomal RNA". It matches the Rfam family "5.8S ribosomal RNA", at positions 51 to 154 of the family's 154-position model. Rfam says of the family: 5.8S ribosomal RNA (5.8S rRNA) is a component of the large subunit of the eukaryotic ribosome. It is transcribed by RNA polymerase I as part of the 45S precursor that also contains 18S and 28S rRNA. Lineage: Eukaryota; Metazoa; Nematoda; Chromadorea; Rhabditida; Onchocercidae. The record is from RNAcentral.
AGCUGCCAUAAAUAAUGCGAAUUGCAAAACGCAUUGAGCACAAAAAUUUCCAAAGCACAUUGCACCAUUGGGUUGAAUCCCCAAGGGACCUCUGGUUGAAGGUCAAU